UUGGUGGGGUAAAGGCCUACCAAGGCGACGAUCUAUAGCUGGUCUGAGAGGACGAUCAGCCACACUGGGACUGAGACACGGCCCAGACUCCUACGGGAGGCAGCAGUGGGGAAUAUUGGACAAUGGGCGCAAGCCUGAUCCAGCAAUACCGCGUGUGUGAAGAAGGCCUUCGGGUUGUAAAGCACUUUCAAUUGGGAGGAAAACCUACCGGUCAAUACCCGGUAGCUUGACAUUACCUUUAGAAGAAGCACCGGCUAACUCC
This 262-nucleotide ribosomal RNA is filed under the name uncultured Gammaproteobacteria bacterium. Its description in RNAcentral is "partial 16S ribosomal RNA". It matches the Rfam family "Bacterial small subunit ribosomal RNA", at positions 249 to 504 of the family's 1533-position model. Lineage: Bacteria; Pseudomonadati; Pseudomonadota; Gammaproteobacteria. The record is from RNAcentral.